Molecule: small nuclear RNA, 108 nt
Filed under: Mus spretus (western wild mouse)
Lineage: Eukaryota; Metazoa; Chordata; Mammalia; Rodentia; Muridae
Source: RNAcentral
GUGCUUGCUUCGGCAGCACAUAUACUAAAAAUUGGAAGGAUACAGAGAAGAUUACCAUGACCCCUGUGUAAGGAUGACAUGCAAAUUGAUGAAGCAGUCCAUAAAAAA